Molecule: ribosomal RNA, 468 nt
Filed under: uncultured bacterium
Lineage: Bacteria
Description: partial 16S ribosomal RNA
Rfam family: Bacterial small subunit ribosomal RNA
Source: RNAcentral
GACGAACGCUGGCGGCGUGCUUAACACAUGCAAGUCGAACGGAAAGGCCCUGCGUUUGUGGGGUGCUCGAGUGGCGAACGGGUGAGUAACACGUGAGUAACCUGCCCUUGACUUUGGGAUAACUUCAGGAAACGGGGGCUAAUACCGGAUAGGAUCUCCUGCUGCAUGGUGGGGGUUGGAAAGUUUCGGCGGUUGGGGAUGGACUCGCGGCUUAUCAGCUUGUUGGUGGGGUAGUGGCUUACCAAGGCUUUGACGGGUAGCCGGCCUGAGAGGGUGACCGGCCACCAUGGGCCUGAGAUACGGCCCAGACUCCUACGGGAGGCAGCAGUGGGGAAUAUUGCACAAUGGGAGGACGCCUGAUGCAGCAACGCCGCGUGCGGGAUGACGGCCUUCGGGUUGUAAACCGCUUUCGCCUGUGACGACGCGUGAGUGACGGUAAUGGGUAAAGAAGCACCGGCUAACUACGUG